AUUUAUGUUAAAUAAAACGCCCCUCGUUGUAGGAACAUAACAUUGCUGUAUGUAUUGCAAGUCAAGAUCCAUAUUGUAUAAUGCAAUACUCAGAUAUCAUUGUCUCACUACUAACAAAAUGGGAAGGCAUGUAAGUUGGAAGCAAAUUAAUAUUCUGAAUGGUCUUAAAAUGCAAGGGGACAGGACAGGUUAAGGUCAAGUCAAUGGAUGCGUAAGAGUAGGAGGGAGUAAAACA
Pelobates cultripes (western spadefoot toad) is the source of this 235-nucleotide non-coding RNA. The record is from the annotation of a GenBank genome assembly. NCBI's taxonomy places the organism in Eukaryota, Metazoa, Chordata, Amphibia, Anura, Pelobatidae.